Molecule: ribosomal RNA, 373 nt
Filed under: uncultured bacterium
Lineage: Bacteria
Description: bacterial SSU rRNA
Rfam family: Bacterial small subunit ribosomal RNA
Source: RNAcentral
AUACGGAGGAUGCAAGCGUUAUCCGGAUUUAUUGGGUUUAAAGGGUGCGCAGGCGGGGAUGUAAGUCAGUGGUGAAAAGCUGCCGCUUAACGGUAGUCUUGCCAAUGAUACUGCAUUUCUUGAGUAUGGAUGAGGUAGGCGGAAUGUGCAGUGUAGCGGUGAAAUGCAUAGAUAUUGCACAGAAGGCCAAUUGCGGAGGCAGCUUACUAAGCCAUAACUGACGCUGAGGCACGAAAGCGUGGGGAGCGAACAGGAUUAGAUACCCUGGUAGUCCACGCUGUAAACGAUGUUCACUUGCUGUUUGCGAUAUAUUGUAAGCGGCGAAGCGAAAGCGUUAAGUGAACCACCUGGGGAGUACGAUCGCAAGGUUGAA